Molecule: ribosomal RNA, 445 nt
Filed under: uncultured bacterium
Lineage: Bacteria
Description: bacterial SSU rRNA
Rfam family: Bacterial small subunit ribosomal RNA
Source: RNAcentral
GGUAUGGGAUGAGCUUGCGUCCGAUUAGCUAGUUGGCGGGGCAACGGCCCACCAAGGCGACGAUCGGUAGCCGGCCUGAGAGGGUGAUCGGCCACAUUGGGACUGAGAUACGGCCCAGACUCCUACGGGAGGCAGCAGUAGGGAAUAUUGCACAAUGGGGGAAACCCUGAUGCAGCAACGCCACGUGUGGGAAGAAGCAUUUCGGCGUGUAAACCACUGUCGUGAGGGAAUAAGGCUGAGUUUCGGCUCAGUUGAAUGUACCUCGAGAGGAAGCACCGGCAAACUUCGUGCCAGCAGCCGCGGUAAUACGAGGGGUGCAAGCGUUGUUCGGAAUCACUGGGCGUAAAGGGAGCGCAGGCGGAAGCUCAAGCGGAUUGUACAAUACCGGGGCCCAACCCCGGACCUGCAGUCCGAACUGGGUUUCUUGGAUAGUUCAGGGGCAGGC